GAGACACCAGACCAGAGAAAACAUCUCAGCCAUCGAUCGAUAGAUAGAUAGAUAGAUAGAUAGAUAGAUAGAUAGAUAGAUAGAUAGAUAGAUAGAUAGAUAAACUAUCCAAAAGUGACACUAUAGAUUGGACAUUGCUGGCUAUUACUGUCACUCUUGAAAUUUCUGUUUCUGCAGCCAUAGGCCUACAAGGAAUCCCACUCUAAAACAUUUGGUGGCUAUCAUCAAAGACUAUAGAAAUACUAUCAUGCUCGGAGAAGCUUUCCUUCAUGUUCUGAACUGCACAGAAGACAUCACAAAUCAUGAUGGACGUGCUCACACACACUUACCCACCCCCACGACCCGUCCUGACCCCUGCACAAUGAAUGCCGCUGCCAGAUCUCCUCUGACACCACGAACUGUGAGAGCUGGCAGGCCCGAAUGCCUGGAAAAGCAAGGGCAGUACCGAGCCUCUGCACCCAGCAACGCUAUGCCCAUUCUCAGCUGUAGCGGGGAGGAUCACUUGGGCAUGAUGCUGUAUUGCUCCUGGUGCUGUCCCAGCUUCUGCAAGAACUAUCCAGACCUCCGGCUUGCUGGUGACCGGCUGGAGCACUGCAGUCCUCAUAACCCAGACCUGCUCAACCCAACAGACGCCGGGCCACUGCUACAAUCGCAGGACCUGAGUUCUCUGGAACCCUCUCUGGAAGCAGGUCAACAGGCAGAGGCUUUGACCCAGCAGGACGAGGAGUAUCUUGUCAUGGAAAGCGUUCAGGGUCCUGGCUGGGAGAGAAGGCUCACCAACUCCAUGUUGAACGGCUAUCUAGAAAUCCAAAUGCUGGAGGUGUUUUGUCAGCACAUGCAAAACAUGGCGUGCUGUGGAUCAUCAUUGCUGAGCACUGACGUCAUGCCGGCACUGGUGCCCACCAGCCUGACUGUAGCCAAAAGAAAAACAGCCAGUCAGGGAGAAGAGCUGGAUUCUUCAUCCAAUAAUGUUGUGCAUUAUUUAAGCGCUUGUUCAGCUCCAGCCACCUCCCACUUCAGCUCACCUGUGCUGCGAAUCUCAGAAGCUGACCUCUGCUCUUCCAUUGUAGCCUCCAUCGACAUUAAUAGCACAAGGUACUUUGGAAGAAGAGGAACCAAAGUCACACUGUCAUGUGUAUACCAUGUAUAGAUAGACGUUUAUAAAUGUUACCACUUCCUCCUAAACAGCCAAUCAACUGUUGUUUUUCUCCCUCAGUCCUGCUGCUGACUGCUACACUUUCUCUUUCCUAAAAAAGUGUUUGAAAUGAAAUUGAAACUUUAUUAACUUAUGUCCUUAGUUAUGUUGCCAUAAUUCAGUUAUAUCCAUUCUUUUCAUUAGAUGUUUGUGGUAAUGUUUCUAUAAUGUGAAACUCUUCAAUAAUUGUUAUUAAAUACUGACACCUGCUGUUCAUACUGUGGAAUGACACCCAGACGGAGCGCAAAUGCUGAUAUGUUGCUGGCGCCCUCUACUGGGAGCUUCGGGAACAGCGGCCAAUGUCCCGAUGAAAGAUUAUGUCAUACUGUCCAUGACAUUGUCCUUCACCCAGAGCUGUGAAAAUUCAAUUUUUAUGUAUUACAUCGAUGUUUAUAGCUACAAUACGCGCACUGCAUUCAAUAUGGUGUAUUAAGCAUUGCAUUUUAAUGUAGUAAUGGAUGGAAGAAAUAAAACCUAAAUGCCUUUACUGCCAUGAAUGUGCUGACAUACUGAUCUGACGUCACAUU
This is a long non-coding RNA of Sinocyclocheilus grahami, 1722 nucleotides long. The record is from Ensembl. Lineage: Eukaryota; Metazoa; Chordata; Actinopteri; Cypriniformes; Cyprinidae.